GAUGAACGCUGGCGGCGUGCCUAACACAUGCAAGUCGAACGAAGACAUACCGACGGAAUCCUUCGGGAGGAAGAUGGUAUGGACUGAGUGGCGGACGGGUGAGUAACGCGUGGGUAACCUGCCCUGUACAGGGGGACAACAGUUAGAAAUGACUGCUAAUACCGCAUAAGCGCACAGUACCGCAUGGUACAGUGCGAAAAACUCCGGUGGUACAGGAUGGGCCCGCGUCUGAUUAGUUAGUUGGCGGGGUAACAGCCCACCAAGACGACGAUCAGUAGCCGGCUUGAGAGAGUGAACGGCCACAUUGGGACUGAGACACGGCCCAAACUCCUACGGGAGGCAGCAGUGGGGAAUAUUGCACAAUGGGGGAAACCCUGAUGCAGCAACGCCGCGUGAGUGAAGAAGUAUUUCGGUAUGUAAAGCUCUAUCAGCAGGGAAGAAAAUGACGGUACCUGACUAAGAAGCCCCGGCUAACUACGUGCCAGCAGCCGCGGUAAUACGUAGGGGGCAAGCGUUAUCCGGAUUUACUGGGUGUAAAGGGAGCGCAGGCGGUGCGGCAAGUCAGAUGUGAAAACCCGGGGCUCAACCCCGGGACUGCAUUUGAAACUGUCGGACUAGAGUGCCGGAGAGGUAAGUGGAAUUCCUAGUGUAGCGGUGAAAUGCGUAGAUAUUAGGAGGAACACCAGUGGCGAAGGCGGCUUACUGGACGGUAACUGACGCUGAGGCUCGAAAGCGUGGGGAGCAAACAGGAUUAGAUACCCUGGUAGUCCACGCCGUAAACGAUGA
Molecule: ribosomal RNA, 786 nt
Filed under: uncultured bacterium
Lineage: Bacteria
Description: bacterial SSU rRNA
Rfam family: Bacterial small subunit ribosomal RNA
Source: RNAcentral